GACGAACGCUGGCGGCGUGCCUAAUACAUGCAAGUAGAACGCACAGUUUAUACCGUAGCUUGCUACACCAUAGACUGUGAGUUGCGAACGGGUGAGUAACGCGUAGGUAACCUGCCUGGUAGCGGGGGAUAACUAUUGGAAACGAUAGCUAAUACCGCAUAAUAUUAAUUAUUGCAUGAUAAUUAAUUGAAAGGUGCAAUUGCACCACUACCAGAUGGACCUGCGUUGUAUUAGCUAGUAGGUGAGGUAACGGCUCACCUAGGCGACGAUACAUAGCCGACCUGAGAGGGUGAUCGGCCACACUGGGACUGAGACACGGCCCAGACUCCUACGGGAGGCAGCAGUAGGGAAUCUUCGGCAAUGGACGAAAGUCUGACCGAGCAACGCCGCGUGAGUGAAGAAGGUUUUCGGAUCGUAAAGCUCUGUUGUAAGAGAGGAACGGGUGUGAGAGUGGAAAGUUCACACUGUGACGGUAUCUUACCAGAAAGGGACGGCUAACUACGUG
RNAcentral lists this ribosomal RNA (505 nucleotides) under uncultured bacterium. RNAcentral's name for it is "partial 16S ribosomal RNA". It matches the Rfam family "Bacterial small subunit ribosomal RNA", at positions 28 to 507 of the family's 1533-position model. The record is from RNAcentral.